UAUUAGAGCAUAAGCUUUCGUGAGCUACAGCUCACUUCAUCGGAUGCAUGAAUGGUAUCUCAGAGAGCCACAGCUCUACUCAUGGCAGGUCUUGACUACUCAAAAGUGCCCCAGGAAGGAUUAUCUAACAGGAACCUCUCUGUGAUGCUGGUCAUGCAGAGGGGUCAUAGAGAAGGUAGCAGAGCACAGUAUAUAGUAUCGGGAGAAGCCUUUUCAGCACAAAUAAAGUGAGCAGGAAGUAGGGAGGAGAGAAAGCGGUAUGUGGCGAAUGAUUGAAUGGAAAGAAAUCUGAUGGAGGUAAUAAAGGAAAGAGAAGGAAGAAGAAAUGGGCAUGGGAUGGAGGGCAAAGGGAGAAAAAGCAAAAAGCAGCCUGAAAGAGUUUAAAAUAAGCUCACCUUAAAUUAUUUUCCAUUCCCUGCCUGCUCUUACUGCUACCUAUCCCACUUUCUCUACAGGCUCGGGGACUGAUGCAUACGCCCAGAAUGCCUUGCACAGAAGGAAUGUUACCAUGGUAAUGGCGAGCCCACAAGGAAGCACUGAACCAAGAUGGACCAAUUGCCAGCAUUCUAUGAACUGGAAUGUAAAUGCACAGGAAGAGGACAAGAAAACUGUAGGACAAGGUGCACAGGUUAAAGGCCAGUGCUUCCCUGUCAUUGAGGGAGUGAAGUCUCUUCUCUUCAGACGAACCAUGGGGUUUCAGAAAAAAGACAGGAUUUUCUGAAAGGCUGAAGCAAGAGAGGACACUGGAUUCCAGCGCAGGACCAUCUUACCACCUCAUGGCCUGAGUGGGCAUUGACCUGCACUGCCUCUUAUUCCCUUACUUAGGAACAUAAGGAGAACAUAACUACUGCACAUCUGCGAGCCAAUGGACAUUGCUUGUUAAAAAUCUCUGGACUUGGGCACUUGGAAUGCAUGUGUUCCCAUGUGUGGAAUACACAUAUGGCCCAGCACUCAAAGAAUGAUUGGUGAUACCAUUUCCAAGCUGUCUUACACUUCCCAUUAUUUCAACAUGUGCUGCCUUAAAGUCCCUCUCCAAAAGCAAGAUAUAUUUCAUCCCAUUCAAACCAAAGUGACCACCUAUGGCUACAAUUCUGAAAAGAUAAGGGGUAGAGUUAGAUGUAAAUCAAAGUUUCCUAGAAGUCGCACAACAAACCUAUCUUCCAGCACAUAUCAAUAACAAGAGAUUGGCUAGCGGCUCCUCCUUUACUGUGAUGUGAUUGACUAUUGAAUGUGGACUGGCUAUCAGUCACAAAGAAUAAUUUAUAGGAUCUUUUUCUUUCUUUUUUAGAUCCUGAUCCAGCAAAGCACUUAGGCAGGGUGUUAGUUGAUGCAUGACUAGACCUAUUGAAAUCAAUGGGAAGACUUGCAUAGUUCAAGAUAAGCACUUGCUUAAGUGCUUUGCUAGAAUGAAAUCUUUCUGCAUAAAUAAAAUACACACAUACAUAACAAAAAACAAAACUACUGCUAUAGUGAAUGGAUUGAACUAUAAGAAUUCAGUGCUGUGACAGAGGAUGCUAUGAAGUUUAGAAUACUGGAACAGAUAGAAGUAGUCAGCUUUUUGAGGCAGGGACCAUACAUGUUUGUGCACAGCUUAGCACAAUGAGGUUCGAAACCCAACUGGAACUUGUGUGUUAGGAUACUGAUGAUGACACAAUAAUAAAAUUCACCCAGUUUUAAAACAGGCGGUCCAAGCAAGCAAAUAUAUGGUAUUGGUGAUAGAGAAUAAAGGGCGAAAUCAAAUGAAAAUGCUAUUAACAUGCAAUGACAAAAAAUAAAAAACAAAUGUGAGAACAAUUUUAUUUGUUCUGAGCAAAAUAUGUUUGUCACUGGUAUAGUACAAAACAUGAAUUAUGCAAUUGUUUUAUCAUACCAAAAAAAACCUUCAGGUCUUAAAGAGUCUAAAAUAAUUACUUGAUCUAAAACAUUUAAAUCAAAUUGUUAUUUUCUUGAUUUUUCCUAAGAUGGACAUUUGCAAUGAGUAACAGAAAUGUUUUAUUACUUAUUUUUUGGUGUAAGUGGAUUUACUGCAAAUGAAAGCUACCAGAUAGACAGAACUGGAGACUGAAGUCCUUUAUCCAUAUA
Long non-coding RNA from Dermochelys coriacea (leatherback sea turtle), 2082 nucleotides. RefSeq lists it as uncharacterized. The transcript has 4 exons. The record is from RefSeq and is a predicted model, not a curated record. NCBI's taxonomy places the organism in Eukaryota, Metazoa, Chordata, Testudines, Dermochelyidae.